UCUGCGUCGCAAUUCUGAACUCUACAUCAACGUCUCUUAACGGCUUUCCUUGCAAGCCUGCCUCAGAAGUUACUUCGGAGGACUUCUUCUUUGAUGGCUUCACCAAAGAGGGAAACACGGACAAUGCACUCGGCUUCAGCCCAACCUUUGGAAACGUUCUUUCUUUCCCAGGGUUGAACACGCUAGGUAUUGCAAUGAAUCGGGUUGACUUUGCCCCAGGAGGGCUGAAUCCGCCCCAUUCACACCCUCGUGCGACAGAAUCCGGAGUAGUCAUUAAAGGGAAACUCUUCGUUGGAUUCCUGACAACGAACAAUGUGUUAUAUUCCAAAGUUUUGACUGUAGGGCAGAUGUUUGUGGUACCCCGAGGACUCGUGCAUUUCCAAAUGAAUGUUGGGAAGGAGAAGGCAAUUACAAUCACAGCGUUUAACAGUCAAUUGCCAGGGGUAGCAACCCUUGCAAAUACACUAUUUGGUUCCAACCCUCCAAUUCCUGAUGAUGUGCUGACUAAAGCAUUCCAAGUUGAAGCAAGUGUUAUUGAUGGCAUCAAGGCCAAAUUUGGUGCUUAAAAUUGUAAGAAAAAUAGAAUGGAAAAUAAAAGCCUAAAACAUUAAAUUUGUGUUCACAGAUUUAUCUGUGUAUUUGUCUAAAGUCAUCUGGUACAUAUAUUAUCCAGGUAUGUAUUAUGAUAUCAUCAAUAGUGCACAUGUACAAGUGCAACAAGAAUUCUUAAUUCUUCAUAUGGAUGUGUACAUUUGGGUACUCAAAUGAUUCUGUUCUUUGCAGUUACUCAUACAAACAAGAGUCGUGCUGUUUUUCAUCGUAUCUUUGACAUAUAUUAUGUAUGGUGAGCUAUCACUUAUUUUAAUUUAGUGAAUUAGUAAAGCUUAAUAUGUAAUGACUAAACAUAUAACAGUUUGGCCGAGUGGUCUAAGGCGCCAGAUUUAGGCUCCGGUCCGAAAGGGCGUGGGUUCAAAUCCCCCACAGCUAUCAUUUUUUUUCCCCAAAAAAAAUACCAGAAUAAAUAAGAUUUCAGAAAUAAAAGAAAAAUCAUUGCCAAAUUCUUAAUCCAAUAGCAACAACAGUAAUCGUAUCUCAAUUAAAAGGAGUUGAAAUCGACUAUAUGAAUCAUCGCUGACUGUGUUUCUUUAUUUAAAUUCACUCAUCUCAUGACGUAAUCACUCGGCCACAAAAGGAACAUAAGAAAAAUGUGGCAAUUUUACUCGACUAGGAACCUUGCAAGUUAUAUAAUCUAUGGUUCAUCUUAUGCUUUUCUUGGGAUGGAAACUUCUUUUUAGGAUUGGGACUUUAGUGUUGGGUGUGCGAACAAAAGUCACACAGUGAUAGCUGAAGCCUGAAGGGAGUGGGAAGCCAUAUAAUGUGUAAGAUCUUUAAUGAUUUGAGGCCUUCCAAGGAAAACCUUGCGCACUUGAUUCAAAGCAAAUAAUAUCACACCAUAUAAGAGUGUCUUUGGAUUGAUUGAUCCCAACAAUUAGUCCCUCAUCCCGAUGAUGACAUCGAAUUAGUGUACUAGAGUCUAGAAAGCUCCAACAAUUAGUCCCUCAUCCAGAUGAUGACAUCGAAUUAGUGUACUAGAAAGCUAGAGUUCGAAGACAAUUCAAUUAGAUGAUGCCAUUCCUUGUUUACUUAUUUUAUUUAAAAAAAGCAUCUCAGCUGUUAUACAGUCAACAAAGAAGCGGAACUUUAAUUUAUAUCGGGUGAACCUUAAUCUAAAGUACGAGCUUCAUUGAAAAUGCAAUUUGGACACAGAAUGCUCCAGACACUAAAGCAGGUGGCUUCCAGUUGACAUUAUCUAAAGAUAGCUGAAUAGGGUCGGUUUAAUGGAAAAUCUGUACAUGAAAAAGGUCCAAAUCAAAAGAGAGCCAAUCUUUCCUUGUCUCAACACAUUUGCCUACAUGGACCAAAGCUAAGUUACACGGACUCUUCACUUUUGAUGUCGCACCCGUAUUGGAUUCUUCAAAAAUACACUACUUUUGGCGAAUCCGACACGCACCCGCCGACAUUUUUGAAGAGUCCGAGCAACAUAGGACCAAAGAGCAUCAUUUUUCUUUCAAGAAAUAUGGUUGCAUGGAGGUCGAGCAUUCCUCAUAUGCUUGAAGAAGAUCUCAAUGUCAACUAAUUCAAUAACCUUAUUCGAUUAUCACAUAAUUUCUUUUUCUUUUUUACUUUUUUGAGAAAGACAAAUCACAUAAUAUCUCAUAACCAUGGUGCUUGGAACUUCUUACACUUCUACGUCCAGAGGCUUUGGGUGAUAGAGAUUUUCAACUGCAGACAGGAGCAAAUAUGAUAUACAAAGUGUGCAGUGAAACAUAUCUACCGUUAUCAAAAGUUUCGGUUCUGGAAUUUAUCAUCUCAAUCUCCCCUACCAAAUCUACAAUAUCCUAAAUUAAACAAAAAAUCAGAUAAAAGAACCUCCAGCAAUUUAUAUAUUUCAAUCAAUAAUCAACUCUGAAAUUUGAAGGCUUUACCGAUAGAAACAUACAGUUUUUUAAUUUCAUAAGAACAUAAACCAGAUUCCGUCUACCAGAUUUGUUAGAUAAGGAAAAACUAUCAUAAAGAACACCAAAUAACUUACAUCUUUUGAAGGAAAGGUUUCUAUAGGGUGGUUCAUCCUUGAAUUGACUGCUUCAAGCUUCAUGGACAAGAACUGGAAAGUCCAAUCAAAGCAGCGCGGAUGAGGUUAUUAUGACUUGAGUUGAUAAAAAGAAUAACUUUAAUACAGGGAAGAUGAGGAACUACCUCAACUUGGCGCUGUAGCGACUGGAUAUAAUUUAUUAUUUCGUCAAGAACAAGCGCUUUUCCAAUAACCUGUAAGAAAGUUGCAAAAUAAACUUGCACAAAAUGCAAAUUGUACAUGAAAAAUGCAUUCAAUCUAAUAGAGCACACAAAAUUGUCACCCUUCAUAUAAUAUCCACCACCGGAUAAGCUCGAUCAAUAGGAUAACUUCAAAAGAUUACUAACCUUAUUACGUCCGGGAACCAAAUCUUGCAGAAUUUUCAUCCUCUCGCUGAUCUUUUCUUUCCUGGCCUGAUAAAUUAAGAUUCUACUUAGCCACCGUCAGGAAACAUUUGCACCAUUAAAAGUUGGGAAGUUGAGAUAAGGCAUUGCCCUCUCUGCUAGACUGUGACUAUCAGGAGCAUGGCCCCUUCGUGCCCUACAUGGAUAUAAUCCUUAGGUGGCUCAGGUUUACUACUUUGUUCAGUACCCUUGUUAGCCGUCUGGGAACUGGAUUCUACUUCUACCUUUAAAGCACUAUUUUCUUCUUUCGAUUGGGAUGCUUUCAGCCGUUUGGCCACUGAACCAUCCUGAACAUAAUUUCAAUUAGUAUGAAUAUCAAUAGGUAUUAAAAGUUGGGAAGUUGAGAUAAGGCAUUGCCCUCUCUGCUAGACUGUGACUAUCAGGAGCAUGGCCCCUUCGUGCCCUACAUGGAUGUAAUCCUUAGGUGGCUCAGGUUUACUACUUUGUUCAGUACCCUUGUUAGCCGUCUGGGAACUGGAUUCUACUUCUACCUUUAAAGCACUAUUUUCUUCUUUCGAUUGGGAUGCUUUCAGCCGUUUGGCCACUGAACCAUCCUGAACAUAAUUUCAAUUAGUAUGAAUAUCAAUAGGUAUUAAAAGUUGGGAAGUUGAGAUAAGGCAUUGCCCUCUCUGCUAGACUGUGACUAUCAGGAGCAUGGCCCCUUCGUGCCCUACAUGGAUGUAAUCCUUAGGUGGCUCAGGUUUACUACUUUGUUCAGUACCCUUGUUAGCCGUCUGGGAACUGGAUUCUACUUCUACCUUUAAAGCACUAUUUUCUUCUUUCGAUUGGGAUGCUUUCAGCCGUUUGGCCACUGAACCAUCCUGAACAUAAUAAAUCAAAAGAGAGCCAAUCUUUCCUUGUCUCAACACAUUUGCCUACAUGGACCAAAGCUAAGUUACACGGACUCUUCACUUUUGAUGUCGCACCCGUAUUGGAUUCUUCAAAAAUACACUACUUUUGGCGAAUCCGACACGCACCCGCCGACAUUUUUGAAGAGUCCGAGCAACAUAGGACCAAAGAGCAUCAUUUUUCUUUCAAGAAAUAUGGUUGCAUGGAGGUCGAGCAUUCCUCAUAUGCUUGAAGAAGAUCUCAAUGUCAACUAAUUCAAUAACCUUAUUCGAUUAUCACAUAAUUUCUUUUUCUUUUUUACUUUUUUGAGAAAGACAAAUCACAUAAUAUCUCAUAACCAUGGUGCUUGGAACUUCUUACACUUCUACGUCCAGAGGCUUUGGGUGAUAGAGAUUUUCAACUGCAGACAGGAGCAAAUAUGAUAUACAAAGUGUGCAGUGAAACAUAUCUACCGUUAUCAAAAGUUUCGGUUCUGGAAUUUAUCAUCUCAAUCUCCCCUACCAAAUCUACAAUAUCCUAAAUUAAACAAAAAAUCAGAUAAAAGAACCUCCAGCAAUUUAUAUAUUUCAAUCAAUAAUCAACUCUGAAAUUUGAAGGCUUUACCGAUAGAAACAUACAGUUUUUUAAUUUCAUAAGAACAUAAACCAGAUUCCGUCUACCAGAUUUGUUAGAUAAGGAAAAACUAUCAUAAAGAACACCAAAUAACUUACAUCUUUUGAAGGAAAGGUUUCUAUAGGGUGGUUCAUCCUUGAAUUGACUGCUUCAAGCUUCAUGGACAAGAACUGGAAAGUCCAAUCAAAGCAGCGCGGAUGAGGUUAUUAUGACUUGAGUUGAUAAAAAGAAUAACUUUAAUACAGGGAAGAUGAGGAACUACCUCAACUUGGCGCUGUAGCGACUGGAUAUAAUUUAUUAUUUCGUCAAGAACAAGCGCUUUUCCAAUAACCUGUAAGAAAGUUGCAAAAUAAACUUGCACAAAAUGCAAAUUGUACAUGAAAAAUGCAUUCAAUCUAAUAGAGCACACAAAAUUGUCACCCUUCAUAUAAUAUCCACCACCGGAUAAGCUCGAUCAAUAGGAUAACUUCAAAAGAUUACUAACCUUAUUACGUCCGGGAACCAAAUCUUGCAGAAUUUUCAUCCUCUCGCUGAUCUUUUCUUUCCUGGCCUGAUAAAUUAAGAUUCUACUUAGCCACCGUCAGGAAACAUUUGCACCAUUAAAAGUUGGGAAGUUGAGAUAAGGCAUUGCCCUCUCUGCUAGACUGUGACUAUCAGGAGCAUGGCCCCUUCGUGCCCUACAUGGAUAUAAUCCUUAGGUGGCUCAGGUUUACUACUUUGUUCAGUACCCUUGUUAGCCGUCUGGGAACUGGAUUCUACUUCUACCUUUAAAGCACUAUUUUCUUCUUUCGAUUGGGAUGCUUUCAGCCGUUUGGCCACUGAACCAUCCUGAACAUAAUUUCAAUUAGUAUGAAUAUCAAUAGGUAUUAAAAGUUGGGAAGUUGAGAUAAGGCAUUGCCCUCUCUGCUAGACUGUGACUAUCAGGAGCAUGGCCCCUUCGUGCCCUACAUGGAUGUAAUCCUUAGGUGGCUCAGGUUUACUACUUUGUUCAGUACCCUUGUUAGCCGUCUGGGAACUGGAUUCUACUUCUACCUUUAAAGCACUAUUUUCUUCUUUCGAUUGGGAUGCUUUCAGCCGUUUGGCCACUGAACCAUCCUGAACAUAAUUUCAAUUAGUAUGAAUAUCAAUAGGUAUUAAAAGUUGGGAAGUUGAGAUAAGGCAUUGCCCUCUCUGCUAGACUGUGACUAUCAGGAGCAUGGCCCCUUCGUGCCCUACAUGGAUGUAAUCCUUAGGUGGCUCAGGUUUACUACUUUGUUCAGUACCCUUGUUAGCCGUCUGGGAACUGGAUUCUACUUCUACCUUUAAAGCACUAUUUUCUUCUUUCGAUUGGGAUGCUUUCAGCCGUUUGGCCACUGAACCAUCCUGAACAUAAUUUCAAUUAGUAUGAAUAUCAAUAGGUUGCUUCAUUAAAUGAAAAAUAUAUCAAUAUGAGAAUUCGUCAGCUGAAGGACUAAGAAAUAGAGUUAUGAUAUCUAAAGUUCAUCCAAAUGAAAACGGUUCACAAAACAAAUAACCAGUUAGCACAUACAUCAUGAACUUACACCUCAAGGAUUUUUUUCUCAUUAACCGUGGCGUCCGAAUUAGCUUGCGUGCACCUCAACUAAUCAUACGGGACACCUGCCACCUCCCACCAACAAGUCACGGGUACUAAUUACUGAUGAAUUAUACUGCAUCCUUAAGCUAUUGAUGCUUUGGCCAAAUCAAAUAUAUACUGACCAAAUCCAACGUUAGUACAUGCUUGAUUUGACAAAGCAUCACUAGAUUAAAAAAGUAUAAUUCAGCACCAAAUAUAGGGAUAUAUACCUAAUGAGAUUGAGACUCUUCAAAAUUUCUUUAUCAUUGUGGUAUAGUCAAUGAAAUUAAAUAGAUUUUCCAAGGUACUCUUGACGAUUGUUAUACAUGCAGCAUGUGGUAUUCUAAUUACGUUAUGGAAAAGUAAUACCAACGAACAUGGACGUAAUCUUCCCAAUAAAAUUGAUUAGGAUCAUAAUCAAAGCUAAUAAACAACUUUUUCCAGUCUUAGAAUUUUCGAUGACCAUGUCAACGUUAUUUAACAAGAAUAUCGCGCACCGGUAGGUUUAAAUAAGUUAAAACAAAAGAAAAGGAAAUUGGUUAGUUGAGGUGAUCUUUUCUUGAUUUGAUAUUGAAUAUUUACAUGUUUUUCUCUGUACAUUAUGGAAGAAGUCCUUGCAUGAUAAAACUUUCUUCAGAUGUACAAAAUGACCUAAUCAAUGAUGGUCAUUCGGGCAUGAAGGUGUGUUGUUAGAGAUCCAAGAAGUCAACUUUCCUAUCUAUUUCAGCAAUUAGAGUGUCAAAACUUGCUGAUAAAAUAUUCAAGUAAAUGAGAAAUGACAGAAUUAUAUCUGGAAAUCAACAUCACUAUUAGGUAGCUCUAUUGAAAGAAUAAACUUUUAACAACUUACAUAUGAAGAAAGUGACUGAUGCAUGGCAUGACAUGAUGGACUUAUCAAGCUCCGUGUAGAAAAUGUGGUUGUGAUUCCAAUAGGACUUGGACAUUUUCAGCUAAAUGUUGGAGGUGGAAGGUAAUUGAUCUUCAAUAUUUCCACAUUUUCUUCGUGACCUGUCACAAUCCAAGUCCAUGACAUGUAUUGUCCGCUUUGGUCCAACAGGUUCUACAUAUAUGUCUCUCAGGCUAUACCCUUGUAAAUUCCUCUACUUUUCGCCUAAGGUGUUAUGUGCACCCCAUAUUUAGAAGCUUGAUAGCCUAGAAGCCUGUUAGUCCCUCUCUUGACCCGUCCUCCGUCAUACGUGUCACUUGACCCUCUUUCGGUAUAGGCCUCCUGACCAUAACAGUCUUGACAGAAGUCUCUAUUGACUAGUUAUACCAUAGGAAGGGCUCGGAUGAAGAACCACAUGAUUAGGAAGGAGUUGAAACAUUCACAGCAUUGACAAAUGAUACAAUAAUUCAAAGAGGUCACAAUCCCCAAGUUAAAUUUACUAACAAUUUGAUUGACUAUUUCCUCAAGCUGAGAGAUUGCAUUUAUCUAUUGUCAAAGAGCCAACUACCUCAACUAAACUUCCUUUCUUUAUGUAUAUAUAAUUUGAAUUCAGCAUGUUGCUUUCUUGCAGAUAAGAUGUCAUAAAAGCUGGCUUGACAUGUAUAUAGCCCUUGAACUCCUGUGCCAUUAGUACAUUGCCACACACUCAUCUUUAAUUCUUAAGUUUGAUCAUUCGAUAUGGCUGCUCGUGUGACAUUACUGUUGGCUAUUCUCGUAGUCUUACCAUUUCCUUCUCAUUGUGCUGAUCCUGAUCCCCUGCAGGAUUUCUGCGUCGCAAUUCUGAACUCUACAUCAACGUCUCUUAACGGCUUUCCUUGCAAGCCUGCCUCAGAAGUUACUUCGGAGGACUUCUUCUUUGAUGGCUUCACCAAAGAGGGAAACACGGACAAUGCACUCGGCUUCAGCCCAACCUUUGGAAACGUUCUUUCUUUCCCAGGGUUGAACACGCUAGGUAUUGCAAUGAAUCGGGUUGACUACGCCCCAGGAGGGCUGAAUCCACCCCAUUCACACCCUCGUGCAACUGAGUCCGGAGUAGUCAUUAAAGGGAAAC
Molecule: long non-coding RNA, 8067 nt
Filed under: Capsicum annuum
Lineage: Eukaryota; Viridiplantae; Streptophyta; Magnoliopsida; Solanales; Solanaceae
Description: long non-coding RNA (CANN_LNC004103)
Rfam family: tRNA (bases 909-987)
Source: RNAcentral